Molecule: ribosomal RNA, 497 nt
Filed under: uncultured bacterium
Lineage: Bacteria
Description: partial 16S ribosomal RNA
Rfam family: Bacterial small subunit ribosomal RNA
Source: RNAcentral
GAUGAACGCUGGCGGCGUGCCUAAUACAUGCAAGUCGAGCGAACAGACGAGGAGCUUGCUCCUCUGACGUUAGCGGCGGACGGGUGAGUAACACGUGGAUAACCUACCUAUAAGACUGGGAUAACUUCGGGAAACCGGAGCUAAUACCGGAUAAUAUAUUGAACCGCAUGGUUCAAUAGUGAAAGACGGUUUUGCUGUCACUUAUAGAUGGAUCCGCGCCGCAUUAGCUAGUUGGUAAGGUAACGGCUUACCAAGGCAACGUUGCGUAGCCGACCUGAGAGGGUGAUCGGCCACACUGGAACUGAGACACGGUCCAGACUCCUACGGGAGGCAGCAGUAGGGAAUCUUCCGCAAUGGGCGAAAGCCUGACGGAGCAACGCCGCGUGAGUGAUGAAGGUCUUCGGAUCGUAAAACUCUGUUAUUAGGGAAGAACAAAUGUGUAAGUAACUAUGCACGUCUUGACGGUACCUACUCAGAAAGCCACGGCUAACUACGUG